Molecule: ribosomal RNA, 203 nt
Filed under: uncultured bacterium
Lineage: Bacteria
Description: partial 16S ribosomal RNA
Rfam family: Bacterial small subunit ribosomal RNA
Source: RNAcentral
AGUUCGGAUUGGAGUCUGCAACCCGACUCCAUGAAGCUGGAUUCGCUAGUAAUCGCGCAUCAGCCACGGCGCGGUGAAUACGUUCCCGGGCCUUGUACACACCGCCCGUCAAGCCAUGGGAGCCGGGAGUGCCUGAAGUGCGCGGCCGCGAGGAGCGCCCUAGGGCAAGACUGGUGACUGGGGCUAAGUCGUAACAAGGUAUC